Molecule: long non-coding RNA, 4312 nt
Filed under: Sus scrofa (pig)
Lineage: Eukaryota; Metazoa; Chordata; Mammalia; Artiodactyla; Suidae
Description: lncRNA (ENSSSCG00000056278.1)
Source: RNAcentral
UGAACAUACAGGUGCAUGUAUCUUUUUCAAGGAAAGUUUUGUCCAGAUAUAUGCCCAAGAGUGGGAUUUCUGGGUCAUAUGGUAGUUCUAUAUUGAGCUUUUAGAGGUACCACCAUAGUGGCUGUACCAAUUUACAUUCCCACCAACAGUGUAGGAGGGUACCCUUUGCUCCACACCCUCUCCAGCAUUUGUUAUUUGUUGUUUUGUUAAUGAUGACCAUUCUGACUGGUGUGAGGUGGUACCUCACUGUAGUUUUGAGUUUCAUUUCUCUAAUAAUUAGUGAUGUUGAUCAUUUUAUUAUGUGCUUGUUGUCCAUCCUUUUUUCUUCUUUGGAGAAAUGUCUAUUCAGGUCUUCAGCCCAUUGAUCAAUUGGUUGUUGGUUUUUUUUGCUGUUGAGUUGUAUAAGUUGUUUGUAUAUUUUAGAGAUUAAGCCCUUGUCAGUUGCCUAGUUUGAAACUAUUUUCUCCAAUUCUGUAGGUUGUCUUUUUGUUUUUGUUAUGGUAUUCUUUGCUCUGAAAAAGCUUGUCAGCUUGAUUAGGUCCCAUUGGUUUACUUUUGUUUUUAUUUUUGUUGCCUUGGGGGACUGACCUAAGUAAACAUUUGUGCAGUUGAUAUCAGAGAAUGUUUUGACUGUGCUCUCUUCCUAGGGGUUGAAUGGUGUCUUGUCUUAUAUUUAAGUCUUUAAGCCAUUUGGAGUUUAUUUUUGUGCAUGGUGUGAUGGUGUGUUCCAGUUUCAUUGAUUUACACACAGGUUUCCAGUUUUCUUAGCACCACUUGCUGAAAAAUAACUGUCUUUUUCCCAUCUUAUAUUCUUGCCUCCUUGGUUGAGGAUUAAUUCACCAUAGAUGUCUGGGUUUAUUACUGGGUUCUCUGUUUUGUUCCCUUGGUCCAUCUAUCAGUUUUUGUACCAGUACCACACUGUCUUGAUUACUGUGGUUUUGUCAUAUUGUCUGAAAUCAGGGAGAGUUAUGUCUCCUGCUUUGUGUUUUUACCUCAGGAUUGCUUUGGCAAUUCUGGGUGUUUUUAUGUUCCAUGUAAAUUUUUGGAUUGUUUGUUCAAGUUCUGUGAAUAGUAUCAUGGGUUAUUUGAUACGGAUGCAUUGAAUCUGUAGAUUGCUUUGGGUAGUAUGGCCAUUUUAAUUAAUUGGAUAUUAAUUCUUCUGGUCCAGCAGCAUGGAAUAUCUUUCCACUUCUUUGAAUCCUCUUUAAUUUCCUCGAUUAAUACUUCUAUAGUUCUCAACAUAUGUCUUUCACCUCCUUAGGAGAUGUAUUCCUAGGUAUUUAAAUUUUUUGUGUGCUAUUUUAAAAGGUAUUAUAUUUUUAUAUUUGUUUUCUAAUAUUUGAUAGUAUACGGAAGUGCAACCAAUUUCUGAAUGUUAAUCUUGUAUCCUGCUACUUUGCUGAAUUUGUUGAUCAAUUUGAGUAGUUUCUGCAUGGAGUCCUUAGGGUUUUCUAUAUAUAUAGUAUCAUGUCAUCUGCAUAGAGUGACAAUUUUACCUCUUCUUUCCUAAUUUGGAUACCUUAAAAGGUAUUCCUUUGUUUGUCAGAUUGCUGUGGCUUGGACUUCCAAUACUCUUUUAAAAAACUGAUCAGUUUUUAAAUUCUCACUUAAAAUUUUUACAAGUUUUUUUCAUUCAUUAAAUAUGUUUAAACUGAAGCUUUUAUGUUUUAUUAGGAUCCUUUAAAUUAAUUCCAUCAGAAAGCCACAGUAUAAAUUAGUUUUCUGUUUUUUUUCCCCCCCAAAAAACAUACAUGAGGAGACACAUGAUUAUUGUUAGCAUGGUGUUUUUUCUCAGAACCAAGCCAAGGGUGACUGACAGUCAAAGUGACAAAAGGAGAGGUCUUUUUCAUAGUGUGUUGGUACCCAAAAGGUGGAAACUUAACACUUGAAUAAUGAAAGAGGGGAUUCUGAGUGCUCAGAGUUGGUUCACUUCGAGUACAGAUAGACCAUUUCCUUGUAUUUGAUAAGAGCAGCUGAUAUCAGGAGGCUAGUUUAAGAAUAGCCUGCAUUAGAAGACAGAUGAUGUGAGAAAACAUGCAAGAAGAGUCACAAUCCUCCUGUACAUACUGAAGGAGUUUGCUAAGCUUGGCUCAAUUUACAGCCCUUUCAGCUGGUCUCUUGAGUUAGCAACACCAUGCCAGGCUCCAUCAUGCAGUGGUGUAUGGAAGCUGCCUGCCACUGUACUCUAAUUUGCUCUUCUCAGGAGGUAGGCUUACUUUAUCUCCUUCAAAUGCCCUUCAAAUACGGCCUUUGGUUGAGAAGCUAUCUUUGGAAGGAAUUGGGGAAAGGUGGUAAUCUUCAGUAUAUUCUAAGCUUUCCAUUUUCAAAAAAUAAUAUAGGAAAUAUUUUAUAUAGCACAUUUUGGUCUUCUGAACCAAGCCUGCUAAAAACUGGUCUAUAUUGCUCCUUUACAAAAUCGGAAAUAAGUAAACAAACAACCUCUUUAUAUGUCCAUUAAAGUAGACUGUCAAACACAUUCCAAUCUAGACCUUCUAAAUCUCUUAAAGUCUUCUAGUCUUGUGGGGAAUAAUUUACUGUUUGAAAGUGGUAUGGGUGAUUGCUAAUAGGUUUAUUAGCUCUGGUGAGUGUUAAUGAUCCUAUUUAAUUUCUUGCCUGAGAGGUGAAAAAUUUUUUUUUCUACUCAAAGUAUCUCAAAACCUCAGAGACUAGAGUUCUUCCUUCCUCCAUCAGUAAUGAUGACUCCUAUAUCAGCUGCAAGAUUCAUUUGACAUUUAUGCUUAAAGUCUUGAGAAAUAUUAAAAAAAGAACUCUGAAAUAUUCAGAAUGUCAUUUGUACCACUCCUGCUUCAAUUAUAGGCAAAAUACAAGGUUAAAUUGAUCAUGAUGUAAAAAUCAAUUUAAGGGGGAAGAGAAUUCAAGAAAAUACACAUGGACAAAUUAAAGAAAAAAUACAGAGAUAUAGAGAGAGGGAUUGUUCAUAAUCAGGAAAGACAAUUAGAGUCACUAAUGAAAAAGCUGGUUUCCAGCAGAGAGAUAGCUUGACAUAGAAGAGAAUGUGUUAAUUAAACUCAGUCAAGAGCAAAUACUACACUAUCAAAUUUUUAAAUAGCCUAAAAACCGUGAGAUUAAAAUAAUUUGAAAAGUGGAAAGUAUAAUUUUUUUAAAAAUUGCCAAACUAAAGUGUAGCUUAACAAGAUAAUGAAUAAAAUGAGUACAAAACUAAUAAAUAAAAUAAUGAUAAAUCAAAUGUUAUCAGUUGAGAUGAGACUGUUUUAAGGGUGUGUCCUUAAUUCAAUAUGACCCCUAUACUUAAGAAACAGGACAUAAUCACAGAGACAAAAAAAGAAAAUAUGGCUCUGACAUUAGAGACUAAAGUGAUUCAUUUACAAACGUUUACUGAGGAUUGCCAGCAAAAAACAGAAGUUAGCAGAGAAUAGCAAAGAUUCUUUCUACAGGUUUUAGAACAUGCCUCUACUGAAACUCUGAUUUGAAUUUAGCCUCUGGGACUGUGAGACAAAAAGCUUCUGUUGUUUUAAGCCACCUCUUUUGUGUCACUUUGUUAUGGCAGUCUUGGGAAAUGCGUAUGUCUUAUACAAGUACAAAGAGUAAUCUAAUAAUGAAUAAAAUGCAUACAAAGACAAUAAGUGCAAAGAGUGAUAAGUAAAAUAAGUGGACAUCUACAAAUUUAUUUUCAUAGGAGGAAAAUGUGUUUUUAGUGUUUCCAUUCACAUAAAUGUUAACUAUUACAAACAGAAUGAUAACAAAGAUCUCCCCAUAUUCUGACAGUUUGUAUGAGCUUAUUAAAUAUAACUUUGAUUAUAUAUGAGUAUAAUAUAAAUAUAAAUAAGCUCAAUAUGGCCACAUUAGGAAAAUAAUAUAAAAUUUUUAAUAUUGGAAAGAAUAUUUAUAGAUACAUUGGUCAAGGUAUUAGAAGGUAUCUUAGAGAUUAAAAUGAUUUAUCUGAAUAGAACUGAGUAUGAUAUGUGAACUUGGGUUUCCCUAAGUUACACAGUCAUCAGUUAGUUUAUUUCAUUUGCUCAUAUUUUAAAGUGUUAUCUUGAGAAGGGACUUACCUUGGAUCUUCACUGUAAUUCCAUUAAUGUAACUGUAAAAAAAAAAAGUCCCCCAAAAAAACAAAGCAGUAAGAGUUCUAAGAAAGGGUUUGUUUGGUGUUCACCAGGGUACCAUAGUUUCAGUGAAAUAACUGAAUAAAUGAUAAAGGAAUGUGGAACCAAGCUGAGAGAGACAAAAUAUGAAGGUUUUAAAAUGCAGCUUAGUGUAUAUAGGAUUUAUGAAACAAACCAAUCUCUCCUAUCUCUAACCACAGACAUUCUGGUAAAAUUAAUAAAUG